UACGUAGGGUGCGAGCGUUAAUCGGAAUUACUGGGCGUAAAGCGUGCGCAGGCGGUUUUGUAAGACAGAUGUGAAAUGCCCGGGCUUAACCUGGGAACUGCAUUUGUGACUGCAAGGCUAGAAUCUGGCAGAGGGGGGUAGAAUUCCACGUGUAGCAGUGAAAUGCGUAGAUAUGUGGAGGAAUACUGAUGGCGAAGGCAGCCCCCUGGGCUAAGAUUGACGCUCAUGCACGAAAGCGUGGGGAGCAAACAGG
Molecule: ribosomal RNA, 253 nt
Filed under: uncultured bacterium
Lineage: Bacteria
Description: partial 16S ribosomal RNA
Rfam family: Bacterial small subunit ribosomal RNA
Source: RNAcentral